AAAAAUUGGUAUCGCAACCGAGAUUGGGUUCAAAUGUAGGUUAUGUAAGAGGAAGAUAUUAACAUCGCUCACGUCCAUGGUACUCCAUGGGAACCAUUUAAGUUGUCUACAUGUGUUGUCUAUUUAUUUCUGCUUUAUUUUCAAAAGAGUGUGAAAGAAUGAGAUUUUGGUUUUUUAUUAUUAUGCUCGCCGAGGAUUGGGGCCACUACAACAAAAAUGAUUUUACGCAACAACGGAAAACCGCAGCCUAAAUAUAUAAAACCGUAGUC
This 269-nucleotide long non-coding RNA is filed under the name Lathyrus oleraceus (garden pea). RNAcentral's name for it is "Pisum sativum (pea) long non-coding RNA (PSAT_LNC035719)". Lineage: Eukaryota; Viridiplantae; Streptophyta; Magnoliopsida; Fabales; Fabaceae. The record is from RNAcentral.